Molecule: ribosomal RNA, 420 nt
Filed under: uncultured bacterium
Lineage: Bacteria
Description: bacterial SSU rRNA
Rfam family: Bacterial small subunit ribosomal RNA
Source: RNAcentral
AAGGAAUAUUGGUCAAUGGAGGGAACUCUGAACCAGCCAUGCCGCGUGAAGGAAGAAGGCGCUACGCGUUGUAAACUUCUUUUGGGUGGGACGAAAAUAAUCCAUUUAUGGAUAGCUGACGGUACCAUCAGAAUAAGCACCGGCUAACUCCGUGCCAGCAGCCGCGGUAAUACGGAGGGUGCGAGCGUUAUCCGGAAUCACUGGGUUUAAAGGGUGCGUAGGUGGCUUAAUAAGUCAGCUGUGAAAUGUCUGGGCUUAACCGAGGCAUUGCGGUUGAUACUGUUAGGCUUGAAUCAAGUUGAGGUGGCUAGAAUGUGACAUGUAGCGGUGAAAUGCAUAGAUAUGACAUAGAAUACCAAUUGCGAAGGCAGGUUGCUAGACUUUGAUUGACACUGAGGCACGAAAGCGUGGGGAUCAAAC